RNAcentral lists this ribosomal RNA (498 nucleotides) under uncultured bacterium. RNAcentral's name for it is "partial 16S ribosomal RNA". It matches the Rfam family "Bacterial small subunit ribosomal RNA", at positions 29 to 523 of the family's 1533-position model. The record is from RNAcentral.
AUUGGACGCCGGCGGCAUGCCUUACACAUGCAAGUCGAACGGUAACGCGGGGCAACCUGGCGACGAGUGGCGAACGGGUGAGUAACGCAUCGGAACGUGCCCAAUAGUGGGGGAUAGCCCGGCGAAAGCCGGAUUAAUACCGCAUACGACCUACGGGUGAAAGCAGGGGAUCGCAAGACCUUGCGCUAAUGGAGCGGCCGAUGUCAGAUUAGGUUGUUGGUGGGGUAAAAGCCCACCAAGCCGACGAUCUGUAGCUGGUCUGAGAGGACGACCAGCCACACUGGGACUGAGACACGGCCCAGACUCCUACGGGAGGCAGCAGUGGGGAAUUUUGGACAAUGGGCGCAAGCCUGAUCCAGCCAUGCCGCGUGCGGGAUGAAGGCCUUCGGGUUGUAAACCGCUUUUGUUAGGGAAGAAAUCUUUUGAGCUAAUACCUCGGAAGGAUGACGGUACCUAAAGAAUAAGCACCGGCUAACUACGUGCCAGCAGCCGCAGUAA